CCUACGGGCGGCAACAGUGAGGAAUAUUGGUCAAUGGCCGGAAGGCUGAACCAGCCAUGCCGCGUGAAGGUCAGUGCCCUAUGGGCGUUAAACUUCUUUUGUGCGGAAGCAAUAAUGGUCACGUGUGGCCAGACGAGAGUACCGUACGAAUAAGCAUCGGCUAACUCCGUGCCAGCAGCCGCGGUAAUACGGGGGAUGCAAGCGUUAUCCGGAUUUAUUGGGUUUAAAGGGUGCGUAGGCUGUGAGGUAAGUCAGCGGUGAAAUGCCCCCGCUCAACGGGGUGAAGUGCCAUUGAUACUGCCUGGCUGGAAUGCGGAUGCCGUGGGAGGAAUGUGUGGUGUAGCGGUGAAAUGCAUAGAUAUCACACAGAACACCGAUUGCGAAGGCAUCUCACGAAUCCGCGAUUGACGCUGAUGCACGAAAGCGUGGGUAUCAAACAGGAUUAGAUACCCGGGUAGUC
This 460-nucleotide ribosomal RNA is filed under the name uncultured bacterium. RNAcentral describes it as "partial 16S ribosomal RNA". It matches the Rfam family "Bacterial small subunit ribosomal RNA", at positions 338 to 795 of the family's 1533-position model. The record is from RNAcentral.